Molecule: long non-coding RNA, 5886 nt
Filed under: Sus scrofa (pig)
Lineage: Eukaryota; Metazoa; Chordata; Mammalia; Artiodactyla; Suidae
Description: lncRNA (ENSSSCG00060052549.1)
Source: RNAcentral
GGGAGGAUUUAGGAAUUUUUAGAGAGGAAAAAAUAAAUCAGUCACCUGUAGAAGAAGAGAGAUAAAACUGACAUUAGAUUUCUCAUUAGCAUCACCGGAGCAAAUCCUGAAAACUCCUUAGGGAAAUUACUUUUUCUUUUGAGAUUUAUUAUGGAAAAUUCCAAACAUCAACAAAACUUGAAAGCAUCGUAUACCAGAUGCACUGUGUCCGUCACCAAGAGUCGUCAAUUGAUGGCCAAAUUUGGUUCAUCUACACUCCUACUGACCACCCUCUCUCCCGGUGCCUUGGUUAUUUUGAGGCAAAUUCCAGGCAUCUUAGCAUUUCAUCUGUAACUAUUUAAGUGUGUAUCUCUAAAAGGUAAGGAUUCUUAGGGAGACACAAACUACAGUACCAUUUUCAUGCCUAAAACUGCUGACAAUAAUUGUUCAGUACCAGCAAGUAUUCAGAUGUUGCUCAUUGUUUCAUAAAUGUGUGUGUGCGUGUAUUUUAAUAGAUUGUUUAAAUCAGGAUCCAAGUAAGGUCCAUAUAUUGCAAUUUGUUGAUCUCGUCUUUUUUACAUCUUUAUGGCCCCCAAAUCUUAUUUUUUCCCGUGGGAAAAAUUUGUUGGAGUGUCUGGGUCCUUUGUCCGGCCGAGGUUCCCACAGUCUGGACUUUGCUGAGUGUGGACGUGUUGUGUUAUUCCCGUGUUUACCCCACGUGUUUGAAAAUUGAUAGAUCAAGAGCCUUGAUCAAAUUCAGGUUUCUUUCCCCUACCCCACCCCACCCCACAGACUAUUUCAUUAUUAGUAGUGUGUACUUCUGUCAGGAGCAACAUAUGUGUCUGGAUGUCUCUUCUGUUGUGAUGUUAGCGCUAUUGAUUAUUGCACAGAUCCGAUCAUUCACCAGGUGGUACAAAAUGGGAAUCUAUCAUUUCUUCCUCCUGUAUUAGCAACACUCUUCCCCAAAUAGAAGCUUUCUCUCAUCAACUGUUUCACACCUGGAGGUACAGUUGGUGUUGGCAAGGCAGAAAAAAAAUGCUUUAACUUUUUCUUUUUAAAAUAAGUUAAGGAGGAGUUCCUGCUGUGGCACAGUGGGAUCAGUGGCAUCUCUGGAGCACUGGGAUGCAGGCUUGAUCCCCAGCCCGGCACAGUGGUUUAAGGAUCUGGCACUGCCACCGCUGCUGCAUAGGUGGCAACUGCAGCUCGGAUCUAAUCCUGGCCUCGGAACUCCAUAUGCCUCAGGGUGGCCAAAAAAAAAAAAAGUUAUUUUUUUCCAAAUUUAUGAAGAUAUAAUUGACAUAUAAUACCAUGCGAGUGUAAGGUGUACAAUGUGAUGAUUUGAUACAGAUAUGUAUUUCAAAAUAAUUACCACAAUAAGGGUAGUGAACACAUCCGGCAACUCAGGUAAUUGCCAUUAUUAAUUUUUGUGGUGAAAACGUUUAAAAUCUACUCUCUUAGCAACUUUCACACAUACACUACAGUCACCAUGCUGUAUGUUAGAUCCCCAGAAUUUAUCCAUCUUAUAACUAGAAGUUUUUACCCUUUGAUCCGCGUCUCUGUAUUUCCCCAGCCCCCAGCUCUGGCAACCAAGAGGCUGCUCUGUUUCUAAGUUAGUCGUUUUUCUUUAGUUUUCUCUAGCAUCCUCUACAGAUUUCAAAGAGUUGGUUUUUUGAGGCUCAUUUUAACUCCCUGCAGUUACUAUUCUUAUUAAUACUCAUAUUGUCCCAUCUUUAGCUAAUGGGAGCCUCUUGAAGUUGGUUCCAUUGUCCCUUUACUCAACAGUAACACUCAUUAAUAGCUUCCUUAACUUCAUACGACAAGAUGUCCCAGGCUUACCUUGAAAAUUUCCUACCCCAAACUGGUAACCAGCCAAAUUCUCCAAAAGCCCUGAUUCCUUUGGUGGGAAAUGAUAUUUAGGAACCACCGUUUGGUUGCUGGGGUGCUCAGUGCCACUAGGUUGAUUUCCCACCCCACCCCCCACCAAGGAAGAAAUAAUUUCCUAUCUGGAAUUCUAGAUCCAGCUAAGCUAUUCUAGUUAGGAGGACAAAAAAUAUCUUUAGACAUGCAAGGAGUCAGAAAAUUGACCAUCCAUUCUCCGUGGUAGGAAGCAUGUCAGAAAUAGAAAGAAUCAAUCAAGAAAGAGAAAGAUUUGGAAUGUAGGAAAUAGUGGAGCCAGUCCCAGGCAAAGAGCUGCCCAGACCAACAGCGAUACAUCAGUCUGGAGGAUGGGUAGCUUCAGAAAUAGAUCUCUCUGGUAAAGGGGAAAACAAGUAGAAAAUAUGACCACGUGGUUGGGUGUGGAAGAGCCGAGCCGCGGUGAAAAGCAGGUCAGCACGUAAAAACUGACCUUGGCUGGGAACAAAGUGGGGCAUCUCAGGGACCUUAGGUGAAUUCCCUUCGGGCACAGAUUGGAUCAGGGAGGAAGCUGGGUCUUAGCUCCCCCCUUGAGACACAGAGUGAAUGUUGGUGUCCCUUCCCAUGUCUGAUGGCCAAAGUGGGUACACUGAGGCUCUGGGCAGGUUUUAUUUUGUAAUUUCUUUCUUUCUUUUUAAACUUUGAAGUUAGGUCUUCAUUUGUAUCUUGGAACAUCCUGAACAUACCUAUUUAGGUUCUUGACAUACUGUCCCUUAAAUGUAAUUUCUUUUUUUUUGGUGUGUGUGUCUUUUUGCUAUUUCUUGGGCUGCUCCCGCGGCAUAUGGAGGUUCCCAGGCUAGGGGUCCAAUCGGAGCUGUAGUCCCCAGCCUACACCAGAGCCACAGCAACGCAGGAUCCGAGCCGCGUCUGCAACCUACACCACAGCUCACGGCAACGCCGGAUCGUUAACCCACUGAGCAAGGGCAGGGACCGAACCCGCAACCUCAUGGUUCCUAGUCGGAUUCGUUAGCCACUGCGCCACGACGGGAACUCCUUAAAUGUAAUUUCUAUACGGAGUGAAUUCAUGCUUUGACUACUAAAUGAACUAAUUGUUUUUCUCGACAUUAGAUUUCUUCAUAUUUUGAAAACGUACUUUGCAGCCAGGCUCAUUUUGAGUAGGAACAGUUUUUCCCCCCCAUUUAUUGGUUUUGAUUUGAUUUUGGCCCCCACUGGGUUCCACUCUCUCUUCCCUGGCCCCGCAGUCCAGCAGUUGUCAGUUACUUCUGUGGUAGCCAAGAGGUGGGACGACAGCGCUCUCAUGUGCUCUGUGGUGAUACCACGUGUGCUGCAGACCAGGGAAGGAGGUUGCAUGUAGCUUGGCUGGACUCCUGGUCAGGAAGCUGGCUUUCUGUCCCCAUCACUUACCUCCCUAGGUCCUCAGCUCCCUGUAAUCCACCCUCCAGCACCAGAUGUGCAGCCCUGUUCCCAGCUCUGUUUCACCCAGUGAGUCUGCCUUGGGUCCUUUUCUCACAGGAGCCCUUGGGGUGUCCUCUCCCCACCCAGAACUGAGCUCCCAGGAUCUCCCACAAAUUUUCAGCUCUAGAGCCCAUGAGGCCUUUGCUUCUAAUUACAUUAUUUCUGCUUAUUUUUGGUCUAUAGAGAUGUUAACCUUGCUUUUUGAGGCUAGUUCUGUCUUUUUAGAAUGUUCUAUUUACAAUUUUAUCUUCAUUACUUUGUGAUCCAAGCAAAGAGUAUGAAUGCAAAUUUGCUGUGAUAGCUUGCCCAAAUCAAUGUGAUUUUUAUUAUUUCCCCUUAACUCUAUUCCCUUUAUCCUAUUUGUCCAUUCCAUGUCCAUUCUCUUCUUUUUCUCCAAUAGAAUCUCUGUGUUGUGGGGGGAUACUAAUGUGCCCCAACUACAUUUCCCAGCCUCCCCUGUAGACACAAAUAGCCAAUUAGAUGUAAGGAAAAAAUUGUGUGGCUUCCAGGAAAGCUCUUUAAAAGGAGCUGAUUCAGCUGCAAGGUACAUCAUUUUGCUCAUUGACUCUUCUUUUUCUUAUGCCUGGAAUGCAGAUGUGAUGGCUAGGGGUCAGCUGCCAUUUUGGGACAAUGAAGUCACUUCAAAGAUGGAAGCCACAUGCUGUGAUGAAUGGCCCUGCAGAACAAGAGCAAGAGUCUGGGGUUCCAAUAGCAAGAACCAAGGUGGCCUGGGUGGUGGGGACAUAGCCAUAGCCUUUCCCUGUUUCUUAACUGGAACUUCCCAGUUAGGAUGACCAAUUGGACAUGUCAGCUGCUGGGACUCCAGCUGCUACUUCUAGGAGUCAUUUUUCAACUUGUCCUCUGUACCUACCUCAUUCUCUCAAGACUGGCUGAGCCUUGAUCAUGGGUGCAUUUCUUGGCUGCUGGCUUCUUUACCUGGCCCCUUUGGCAUCUAUGGUGGAACAUGGGCACUGCAUCCCAUUAAGACUCACAACAAAGGACUCCUCCCUAUAGAGUCAAAAACUAUAGGUAACAUCUGCUGUGGCCUUGUCGUAACUGAUACAUCUGGGAAGUCAUGGUGGGGAUUCCUUCCCCCUGACCAGGUGAACUAUGACUCUUUCCUAUUCCUACCAAGGUAGAUGAGGAAGAGAAGACAGGGACAGGCUCAGGUCUUGGCAGGUGUCCCUGCCUUUCCAGAAUUUUCUUAUUCUCCAUAAUCCAGGCUCUCGUGCAAAUCCUUGGAGGCCCCUUUUCUUUGAUCCUGGUUCUCGGACCCUGGCCUUAACCUCCAUCUCAUCUGUCACCUCUCCCCAGUUCUCCCAUCCCAAACCCAGUCCUUUACAACAUCCAGUGCACACAGGUGUGACUGCACCGUUCCUUCAAGGACUUCCUUUCCAGGUGGUCAGCCCAUUCUUAGAGGGCCUGGGCCAAGUGCCACCUACUUACUUCUGUCCCUCAGUGCAGGUCAGCUGAGAACUAUUCCUGGGACUGGUCAGGCUUUCCUGGACCACCUGGCCAAGAGGCUGAUGCUCCUGCUUUGUCCCCUUCAGGAUUUCUUUCUAGGCAGAAACGGCAACAUGCAGGCCAGGCAACCAAAAUGUGGAGGUCAUUUAUUUCCACUUGUUGUGCUCAUUUGUGAAUCUGGUGGCUGUACAUUGCACGGCUUGCAGAAAACCCAGUGUCUCCAUGACUGUGUUUGCCAGCACAAUGCCCGAAGCAAUAGGAAGAUACACUUUCCUUUCCUCCACCUGCUAAAUAUCACAGUGCAUCUAACUGGCAGAGCCUAAUUUGAAUCCAGAAUCCUAGCAGCAAGGGAGUCUGGGAAAUGCAGCAUUUAGCUUUCCAGCCUCAGGAGUACAAGACACACUAGACGGAGUGAGAAUGGGUAUGCGUGCCCCCUCACUAUAUCCUUACCCCCUGUUGUCAAUAGGGGACCCUCACAGGAGGCUGCUUGUGGACACUGUGGUUUGUGGGAUGUGGCUUCCUAGUCCCCAGUGUUGAAAUGUGUCAGUCCUGCCCAGAACAUGGAUGAAGCUACAGGCCAAAGACCAGCAAACACUACAGUUUCCAUACACAGAAGGUUCUGGGUCUAUUUGUGUGAAUUAUCCCAGUUUUUGUGAGACUUGGUAUCUCUUCUGAGAGUGUCAUCAGAGAACUAAGGAAACUUGGCAGAAAGGUCAGAACACAUCUAUUCUUCUCCCUCUGGACAAUAUUAACCACUUCAUCCAGAGGCUCUUCCUAAUGUUCUGGACCCUUGCAGUAGAAUCACAUGCAGAGUCUUUCUUCUCAUUUUAAAAAUCGAGGUGAAGGGAGUUCCUGCCGUGGCUCAGUGGUUAACGAAUCUGACUAGGAACCAUGAGGUUGCGGGUUCGAUCCCUGGCCUCGCUCCGUGGGUUAAGGAUCUGGCGUUGCCAUGAGCUGAGGGGUAGGUCGCAGACACGGCUUGGAUCUGGCGUGGCUGUGGUGUAGGCCAUCGGCUACAGCUCUGAUUCGACCUCUAGUCUGGAAACCUCCAUAUGCUGUGGGUAUGGUCCUAAAAAGGACAAAAGACCAAAAAAAAAAAAAAAAAGAAAAAAA